Non-coding RNA from Otolemur garnettii (small-eared galago), 91 nucleotides. NCBI's taxonomy places the organism in Eukaryota, Metazoa, Chordata, Mammalia, Primates, Galagidae. The record is from Rfam.
AAAAAGGGCUUUUGUUGUGAGUGGCACACGUGGGGCAACUCAACUGCUCUUUGUGUGGAAUCAACAUCAAGAGAUUUUGGAAGCUACCCCA